UACGUAGGGUGCGAGCGUUAAUCGGAAUUACUGGGCGUAAAGCGUGCGCAGGCGGUUUUGUAAGCCAGAUGUGAAAUCCCCGGGCUUAACCUGGGAAUGGCAUUUGGGACUGCAAGGCUCGAGUGCGGCAGAGGAGACUGGAAUUCCUGGUGUAGCAGUGAAAUGCGUAGAGAUGUGGAGGAACACCGAUGGCGAAGGCAGCCCCCUGGGCCGACACUGACGCUCAUGCACGAAAGCGUGGGGAGCAAACAGG
RNAcentral lists this ribosomal RNA (253 nucleotides) under uncultured bacterium. RNAcentral's name for it is "partial 16S ribosomal RNA". It matches the Rfam family "Bacterial small subunit ribosomal RNA", at positions 524 to 776 of the family's 1533-position model. The record is from RNAcentral.